UACGAAGGGGGCUAGCGUUGUUCGGAAUUACUGGGCGUAAAGCGCGCGCAGGCGGCUAUCCAAGUCAGUGGUGAAAGCCCGGAGCUCAACUCCGGAACUGCCAUUGAAACUGUUUAGCUUGAGGACGAGAGAGGUGAGUGGAUUUCCCAGUGUAGAGGUGAAAUUCGUAGAUAUUGGGAAGAACACCGGUGGCGAAGGCGGCUCACUGGCUCGUUUCUGACGCUCAGGCGCGACAGCGUGGGGAUCAAACAGG
This 253-nucleotide ribosomal RNA is filed under the name uncultured bacterium. RNAcentral's name for it is "partial 16S ribosomal RNA". It matches the Rfam family "Bacterial small subunit ribosomal RNA", at positions 524 to 776 of the family's 1533-position model. The record is from RNAcentral.